CGCUGAGCGGCUUCCGUCGCCGGGCACAGCUCCUCGUCGCUUCUGUUUCUCCCUUUUCAGCUCCCUUGGUUUCCUUCGCGCGUGUGUGAUUACAUACUACGUGGGAGACUGGUAUAGUCCUGCCGCUGGCACGCACUGGUCGGGGGUGGCGGGUCCGGGCGUGUGGCUGCGCCCGUGCCACCUGUGCUGCCCCUGGUGCUUUUCCUCAUGACCUCCUCGGCCUCAGCCUCCUCCUUGACAGAUGCCCAGCUGAGCCCAUGCACCCAGCCCUUGCUGCCCAGUGGUCUCACCUGGGGAUCUUUAAGUACUCCUGAAGCCUGACUUUGGUUGUCGUUGGUGUGACCUGGGCAUUGGGAGUUUCCGAAGUCUCUGGACAGCAAAGUCUGGGAUCAGUGAUUGGCAGCGCUCCCAGUGAGCCGCAGUGGAUACGACCUUGGAAGCUGGGCUGCAGUCCUUAUUCUGUCCGCUGCCGUUAAGCAGCUGUUGAGGAGUGGGUUCUCCACUGCUGAGUGUUAGACCCCUACCAGUGGUCGGCCGGUCUGGGCCAGAGAACCCGGCAUCAGGAUUUAAACGUCUCCAGGUGAUUCCAGCACACAGCGGAGUUUGGGAAUCACAAUUUAGGAAGAAACGGAGUAAUGCCGAGUCCUUACCUGUGAGACCGAUGGCACUGGAGCCUGCAGUCUGGGACUGACAUGAAGCUUUUCCCUCACUUGCCCUCGGGUGUGCCGCCAUUGCCCGUGACCUCUCGGUGUUGCCUGGGUUCUGGCAGCUCUGGUACAGGGCGAUGUUUUCCUCCUGCCCCAGAAACACUGAAAGAGGAAGUCUGGGUGCCAGGUCACCACACCUCCUCAUCCUGUGUUGGCCUCAUGGUUGCUACCUCGUGAAGUGUGGUUGGCAGAACCAAGGUGCCGCUGAAGUCCAUGAGCUGAUGCAGGUGACUAGUGAGGCGAGGCGGGGCUUUCCGUGGUUUCUGUUUAUAGUGCAGUAGUGUAUUGUGGGUAUGCAUGUUCCUAAGAGACCGGAGAUAGGAGGGAGACACUUGCGCCCUGUCAGUGGAGCCAAGGCGUCCUGUGAGGCUUCCCAGCAGCCCCGGGGAUCUCUGAAGGGAGCACCUCUCAAGUCUGGGUACAGGCACGGUCGGAGGCGGAGCCAGCCCAGGGUCUGAGUUCAUGGGCUCAGUAAGCAGUUUCUGAGUAGCAGCAGCCAAGGCAAGCAGCGAGCUCUCCCGCUUCGGGUAGAGGGCAGUCCCUGCUUGCAGUGUUUCCCAGUGGGGAGAUGAGCUGAGCCCCUCAGUAAAGGAAGCCUAAGACCGAGUUUGGUGGAGUGCCCAGGAACCGUGUCUUAGUCGCGUGGGCUGCUGCAUGGCAUCCACUAACCUGGGGGUGUAUGAACAACACAUGUUUGUUCCUCACUGUUCUGGAGAGUGGAGAUUCUGCAUCAGCACCCCAGCAGACUUGAUACCUGGCGAGAGUGCUCCUCUUGUGCGGGGCCUUCCUGCUGCUGCUCACGUGCAAGAAGGGGCACAGAAGCUCGUGAGGGUCCCUUACCAGGGCACUACCCUGUUCCUCAGUGUACCACCCUCAGGACCUCACCUCCUGGUACCAUCACAGUGUGAGUUAGGGUUUCAGCACGGGGACUGGGGAGGUGUAGCAAACUUUGUAGCUCAGCCUCGUGAGGUACCCAGGACUGCCAUUAGUCACAGAUGCCUGCCUUGAUCAGCUAACGGUUAAAGCCAGGGUUGGGCCAAGGUGACCGUUCUCACGCUGCACUUGCCAAUGAUAGGCUCCGGAGAGUGACUUAGUCACCAGAAAGGCCGUGGAGGCCGGCAGGGCUGCAGGCAGCAGGUGCAGGUGCAGGUGCAGAAGCAGUGUGUGAGAGAGGGGGACAGUGAGGGGCUGAGACAGCAGGAGCAGGUGCAGGAGCAGGUGUGAGAGAGAGAGGGGACAGUGAGGGGCUGACAGCAGGUGCAGGAGCAGGUGUGAGAGAGAGAGAGGGGACAGUGAGGGGCUGAGACAGCAGGUGCAGAAGCAGGUGUGAGAGAGAGAGGGGACAGUGAGGGGCUGAGACAGCAGGUGCAGGUGCAGGUGUGAGAGAGAGAGGGGACAGUGAGGGGCUGAGACAGCAGGUGCAGGUGCAGGAGCAGGUGUGAGAGAGAGAGGGGACAGUGAGGGGCUGAGACAGCAGGUGCAGGUGCAGGAGCAGGUGUGAGAGAGAGAGGGGACAGUGAGGGGCUGAGACAGCAGGUGCGGGAGUGAGAGAGAGAGGGGAACGGUGCUGAGUUUACGUUCACUCACGGAGUUAGAGACAUGUCCAGGAAGGCACUCGGAUCCCAGAGGGCAUUUGAGGGAGGAGACGCUGGGGGUGUUUGGCAUCAGAGACCCACGUUCUAGUGAAACUUGUGAGAAUCAUUCCAUUAGUCAUGUCUAGAUCUAAAAAUGCUGGGUUUGAAACAAUUUUUGUGAAAAUAUACGGAGAUUAUUUUAUUGUUU
This is a non-coding RNA of Oryctolagus cuniculus (rabbit), 2489 nucleotides long. The record is from RefSeq and is a predicted model, not a curated record. Lineage: Eukaryota; Metazoa; Chordata; Mammalia; Lagomorpha; Leporidae.